RNAcentral lists this ribosomal RNA (460 nucleotides) under uncultured bacterium. Its description in RNAcentral is "partial 16S ribosomal RNA". It matches the Rfam family "Bacterial small subunit ribosomal RNA", at positions 338 to 795 of the family's 1533-position model. The record is from RNAcentral.
CCUACGGGGGGCAGCAGUGAGGAAUAUUGGUCAAUGGACGAGAGUCUGAACCAGCCAAGUAGCGUGAAGGAUGACUGCCCUAUGGGUUGUAAACUUCUUUUAUAUGGGAAUAAAAUGUUCCACGUGUGGGAUUUUGUAUGUACCAUAUGAAUAAGGAUCGGCUAACUCCGUGCCAGCAGCCGCGGUAAUACGGAGGAUCCGAGCGUUAUCCGGAUUUAUUGGGUUUAAAGGGAGAGUAGGUGGAUUGUUAAGUCAGUUGUGAAAGUUUGCGGCUCAACCGUAAAAUUGCAGUUGAAACUGGCAGUCUUGAGUACAGUAGAGGUGGGCGGAAUUCGUGGUGUAGCGGUGAAAUGCUUAGAUAUCACGAAGAACUCCGAUUGCGAAGGCAGUUCACUGGACUGCAAGUGACACUGAGGCUCGAAAGUGUGGGUAUCAAACAGGAUUAGAUACCCUAGUAGUC